RNAcentral lists this ribosomal RNA (895 nucleotides) under Thanatephorus cucumeris. RNAcentral describes it as "eukaryotic LSU rRNA". It matches the Rfam family "Eukaryotic large subunit ribosomal RNA", at positions 37 to 943 of the family's 3401-position model. The record is from RNAcentral. Lineage: Eukaryota; Fungi; Basidiomycota; Agaricomycetes; Cantharellales; Ceratobasidiaceae.
AGCAUAUCAAUAAGCGGAGGAAAAGAAACUAACAAGGAUUCCCCUAGUAACGGCGAGUGAAGCGGGAAGAGCUCAAAUUUAAAAUCUGGCGGUGUAUUCUGUCCGAGUUGUAGUCUAGAGAAGCAUCAUCCGUGCUGGACCAUGUACAAGUCUCUUGGAACAGAGCGUCAUAGAGGGUGAGAAUCCCGUCCUUGACAUGGACUGCCAGUACUUUGUGUUGUGCUCUCAACGAGUCGAGUUGUUUGGGAAUGCAGCUCAAAAUGGGUGGUAAAUUCCAUCUAAAGCUAAAUAUUGGCGAGAGACCGAUAGCGAACAAGUACCGUGAGGGAAAGAUGAAAAGCACUUUGGAGAGAGAGUUAAACAGUACGUGAAAUUGUUGAAAUGGAAACGCUUGAAGUCAGUNNCGUUCUCUGGAUUCAGCCUGGCUUUUGCUUGGUGCAUUUCCCGGUCUACGGGCCAGCAUGAAUUUUGACCAAUGGAAAAAGCUUGGGGAAUGUGGCACUUCGGGUGUGUUAUAGCCCCUUGUCACAUACGUUGGUUGGGAUUGAGGUCUUAGUGCACGCUUCGGUUGUGCUUUGAUGCUGGCGUAAUGGCUUUAAACGACCCGUCUUGAAACACGGACCAAGGAGUCUAACAUGUCUGCAAGUGUUUGGGUGCAAAACCCGAGCGCGAAAUGAAAGUGAUAGUUGGGAACCUCUUNNGAGGGGCACCGACGCCCGGACCAGACCUUCUGUGACGGAUCCGAGGUAGAGCAUAUAUGUUGGGACCCGAAAGAUGGUGAACUAUGCCUGCAUAGGGUGAAGCCAGAGGAAACUCUGGUGGAGGCUCGUAGCGAUUCUGACGUGCAAAUCGAUCGUCAAAUGUGGGUAUAGGGGCGAAAGACUAAUCGAACCAU